UAAGACGAACCGUGCGAACGUUGUUCGGAUUCACUGGGCUUAAAGGGCGCGUAGGCGGGUUCUCAAGUCGGGGGUGAAAUCCCACCGCUCAACGGUGGAAGUGCCCCCGAUACUGGGAGUCUGGAGGGAGGUAGGGGUGUGUGGAACUUCCGGUGGAGCGGUGAAAUGCGUAGAUAUCGGAAGGAACGCCGGUGGCGAAAGCGACGCACUGGACCUCUUCUGACGCUGAGGCGCGAAAGCCAGGGGAGCAAACGGGAUUAGAUACCCCGGUAGUCCUGGCCCUAAACGAUGGGUACUAGGUAGCGGCCCGGCAUGGGGUCGCUGCCGAAGCGAAAGUGCUAAGUACCCCGCCUGGGGAGUAUGGUCGCAAGGCUGAAACUUAAAUGAAUUGACGG
This 395-nucleotide ribosomal RNA is filed under the name uncultured bacterium. RNAcentral's name for it is "bacterial SSU rRNA". It matches the Rfam family "Bacterial small subunit ribosomal RNA", at positions 521 to 916 of the family's 1533-position model. The record is from RNAcentral.